Molecule: transfer RNA, 25 nt
Filed under: Polypedates leucomystax (Java whipping frog)
Lineage: Eukaryota; Metazoa; Chordata; Amphibia; Anura; Rhacophoridae
Description: partial tRNA-Ile
Source: RNAcentral
GGAAGCGUGCCCGAAAGAUAAGGAC